CAUUGAAAUGGUGAUAACAUUUGCUGAAAGAAAUUGUUGAUUAAGAAAAAAUUAGAUUAUAAUUAUCUGAUCAACG
Molecule: small nucleolar RNA, 76 nt
Organism: Elaeis guineensis (African oil palm)
Lineage: Eukaryota; Viridiplantae; Streptophyta; Magnoliopsida; Arecales; Arecaceae
Product: small nucleolar RNA Z155
Source: RefSeq, a predicted model, not a curated record